Molecule: long non-coding RNA, 555 nt
Organism: Helianthus annuus (common sunflower)
Lineage: Eukaryota; Viridiplantae; Streptophyta; Magnoliopsida; Asterales; Asteraceae
Exons: 2
Source: RefSeq, a predicted model, not a curated record
UUUACCAAAACAAAACGUCAAAACACGCUCCAGCACCACAAGCCACCGUCUUCAAUCUUCAGCCUUGAGACAAGGUGCCCUUGUCUCCACUCUUCUUCCAGCCCCGCCACAACCCUCGCCGGACAACAGAGCCACCGUCUUCUCCGCCUCUCUCAGUUUUUUUGGCCGAUUUUGAUACUUGGUAGUAUGCAAAGGGGAAUUCCAAGUUUUUUCCAAAGACAACCAUCAAAUAUUGAAUCAUCAUCUUCAAAUGGUAAACCAUUGAAAAUAGAUAUGGAUAAUCUUCCAUGGGAUCCUUCCGAGAGGAAGCCAAUUUCAUCUUAUCACCCUAGUCAAAAAGAUGAAAUUAGACGGACAUAUUUUCUUGUAUCGUAUUUUUAUUAUGUUAUGAACUUUACCCGACCCGAAUCGUCGAACCGUUCCGUAUUUUUUUUAUGUUCGGACACUUAGAAAAGUGAACCCCUUGAAAAAAAUUCCUGGAUCCGCCACUGACUAAGGGAUGCCCCGGGCUACGCUGCGGGUCUUAUGUUAGUAUCGGAUUGGUUUGUUACAGUA